UACGUAGGGGGCAAGCGUUGUUCGGAAUUACUGGGCGUAAAGGGCGCGUAGGCGGCACAGCAAGUCGGGAGUGAAAGCCCGGGGCUCAACCCCGGAACGGCUUUCGAAACUGCUGAGCUAGAGUACAGAAGGGGCAACCGGAAUUCCCAGUGUAGCGGUGAAAUGCGUAGAUAUUGGGAAGAACACCUGAGGCGAAGGCGGGUUGCUGGGCUGAUACUGACGCUGAGGCGCGAAAGCGUGGGGAGCGAACAGG
RNAcentral lists this ribosomal RNA (253 nucleotides) under uncultured bacterium. RNAcentral describes it as "partial 16S ribosomal RNA". It matches the Rfam family "Bacterial small subunit ribosomal RNA", at positions 524 to 776 of the family's 1533-position model. The record is from RNAcentral.